Molecule: ribosomal RNA, 466 nt
Filed under: uncultured bacterium
Lineage: Bacteria
Description: partial 16S ribosomal RNA
Rfam family: Bacterial small subunit ribosomal RNA
Source: RNAcentral
GACGAACGCUGGCGGCGUGCUUAACACAUGCAAGUCGAACGGAAAGGCCCUGCUUUUGUGGGGUGCUCGAGUGGCGAACGGGUGAGUAACACGUGAGUAACCUGCCCUUGACUUUGGGAUAACUUCAGGAAACUGGGGCUAAUACCGGAUAGGAGCUCCUGCUGCAUGGUGGGGGUUGGAAAGUUUCGGCGGUUGGGGAUGGACUCGCGGCUUAUCAGCUUGUUGGUGGGGUAGUGGCUUACCAAGGCUUUGACGGGUAGCCGGCCUGAGAGGGUGACCGGCCACAUUGGGACUGAGAUACGGCCCAGACUCCUACGGGAGGCAGCAGUGGGGAAUAUUGCACAAUGGGCGGAAGCCUGAUGCAGCAACGCCGCGUGCGGGAUGAAGGCCUUCGGGUUGUAAACCGCUUUCGCCUGUGACGAAGCGUGAGUGACGGUAAUGGGUAAAGAAGCACCGGCGAACUACG